CGUUACGGCUCACAAAUUCAAAUGCACAACACUAAGUUGCCCGUUUGUUUUUUCAUUAAAGAGGAAGAGAAACAAAUCUCUUCUUCUUCGUCCUCGAAAAUACCUGCAAAAUCAGUAGAAGCCAUUCUCUCUCUUUCAACACUCCUCUCUCUCUCUCUCGAAUACUGCAUUGUUCUUAUCCUGAGAUUUCUAUUUCCUUGCGAUUGAAUUAUGGUUGGUUGAUUUCUUUAUUUGAGACGAUUGCUUAAUCUGGACCUGAUGAAGAGAGAAAUUAAAGAACUGAGGCGCCAGAGAGAUUUUGCACAAUCUCAAGUGGAUGAGUUGCAGAAAAAACUUCAAGAGGACCAACGGCUUCAAGCACAUUGGAAUCAACACCACGUCCAUCGGAGCAACUUGGAGCUCUAGAAGUAUUGCAAAAGGAAAGUCAUAGUCUAGGUGAUCGAGAUGCAGCGGAGUCCAUUGCCAAGCUGCAAGGGAAAUGCAACCUAUUCAAAAAAGAUUGUUGAUGUUGUUGAGAAGGAAGAAGGGGAGUUAGAGGAGGUGAGAUUGAUUUGGAUAUGGAACCAGAUCAUUUGAUGCAGUUUGUAAAUUGGAGGGCUUGCAGGAAGUUGUUCUGGGAAAUAGCAUUUCCAAUAAAGAUGAUCUUAUUCAAUUGUCAUUCACUGCAGUUCGAGUGAUUAAUUCUGUGAGUUGUGUUCUACGAGGUUUAUCCUGAUUUUAUUUCUUGGUUAAUUGCAAUGCUGAUUAUUGUCAUUUACACGUUUUCUCCUCGAUGAACCAUAUAGUAAGAGAACAUAACAGGGACAGCUUUUCAAGGUGUCACUCGUCAUCCCUUCUGUUACAUAUUGUAGACUUCUUUCUCUGGUAAAUAGGUUCCUUCUCUUUUCACCCCUGAGCAUUCUGAAGAGGUAUGGCUAGUGUAAUUUCAAUCUUAGAUCUUGUUGUUUCCUUUGUUACUUGCUAUGGUAUUACUGUCACUUGGGUUGAUUUUCUGUCAUUAAGAAGUCUAGAAGUGGUAUAUGUUUCCACAGAUUGAGAUCGUGCUUGCCUCUAGAGAUUCUUCUGGUGUUUUUUUUUGAGUUCUUAGAAGGAUAAUGAUGUGAUUGGUAAAAGUUCAGGUUACAGAACUGAAGGAGUUUCGGAUUUUAAGAAUAUGCUGAUCCAAUUUCAAAUUUUAAGAAUAGAUCGGCUUUGCUUCCUUUAUUGGAUCUAUACCUCUACCAAUUGUAGCAGCUAUCUAUUUCAUCUAGACCAUAUUUAGACAGCUUCUGCUGUCCUUGGUUUCUCUUUAUGUUCUGUAACCUCCUGAACAGUUUCAGGAUAAAGUUCAUACUUGGCUUCUCUUUCUUCAUGGGCAUUUCAGUACUCCAAUACUUCAGAUAGUACUAUAAUCAAAUAGGAUCAAAAUGCGGGUCAUGUUUACACUGGUUCCUUUGUUAGACCUCCACAAAUAUCAGUACCCAAUUAUUAGGCUGCCUGUCAUCCAUCACCUACACGGGAAUCAGCACUUCCUUUACAGUAUAAUAUUUGCGGUUCAUUUGGUUCUCUGUAAUAUUAGGAAAUUCCUUUUCAUUUUCUUCAGCUGGAUAUAAUCUUGAGGAUGAGGAGGGCAUUAUUGAAUCGGAGCAACAAGUUUCCUGGCAGAAAACUUUUAGAGAGCAACAAAGAUAGCAGACUAUGGGAUGUAUGCUUUGUAUCCGUCAUCAGUAGGACGCAGUUUUAUUUGUUAUUCACAUAAGCUGAGCUUAGGCGCUUGAAUUGGUUACAACAGCAUUUGGCAAUGCAUCUUGGAGAUGAGCCUGCAAUUUCUCUAUCCUGAAUGUUUUCUUCUCUCUUUUUAGCCUGCGAACUUACACGAACUGACACAUUUCUUGCAGUUGUUAAUAUCGAAUGAAUGCUUAAAUUAAAUAUAUACCCUAUCGGGACUCCAAGCUCACUCAUAUAUUGCAGCACUCUCUCGGCAGGAAUGCACAAACUGAGCAGAACCACAGCCUCCUGACCCUUCAAAGGAGAAAGACUUAAAAAGUUCAGCAGGUGAGUUUCAACAGCUUAAUUGUUGUCCAGUCAUCUAAUGAAUGUGCUAUAUAUACAUCUCUUUAUUUGAGACGAGUCUAUCAAUUGCUUAAUCAAAAUAGUAAAUUAUUAUGAUAAUUAGACAAAGAAAAAAGCGGCUCUUUUUUAAAAAAAAUGAUUGUGUGAAAAGUGAAUAGAUGGCAAUUAAAGUACAUUACUUGAUUUUUUAAUGGUUACCAAGUGAAACACUUUAUUUUUGUGUUGGUUUAGCAUGUCAGUGCAAGUAACUAAAUUAACAUGUCGUGUUGCCUCCCAAGACAAGUUUAUUUUCUGUUAUCAUCUUCCGUAGUUUUACUAUUUGUUUUAUAUAUUUAAUAUUAUUCUUAAUUUGCUUUUAAUUUCUGUUUAUUCUAUAGUUUAUUUGUUUAUUUGCAUAUUUGCACUUUUAUUUUCUGUUAUCUCA
Ricinus communis (castor bean) is the source of this 2476-nucleotide long non-coding RNA. RefSeq lists it as uncharacterized. The transcript is spliced from 5 exons. The record is from RefSeq and is a predicted model, not a curated record. NCBI's taxonomy places the organism in Eukaryota, Viridiplantae, Streptophyta, Magnoliopsida, Malpighiales, Euphorbiaceae.